RNAcentral lists this ribosomal RNA (405 nucleotides) under uncultured bacterium. RNAcentral's name for it is "partial 16S ribosomal RNA". It matches the Rfam family "Bacterial small subunit ribosomal RNA", at positions 30 to 526 of the family's 1533-position model. The record is from RNAcentral.
AUUGAACGCUGGCGGCAGGCUUAACACAUGCAAGUCGAACGAGUGGCGGACGGGUGAGUAAUGCUUGGGAAUCUAGCUUAUGGCGGGGGAUAACUACGGGAAACUGUAGCUAAUACCGCGUACCAUAGGAUGAGCCCAAGUGGGAUUAGGUAGUUGGUGAGGUAAAGGCUCACCAAGCCGACGAUCUCUAGCUGGUCUGAGAGGAUGACCAGCCACACUGGGACUGAGACACGGCCCAGACUCCGCCUAUGAUUAACAGUAUCAAAUAUUGCGCAAUGGGGGCAACCUGACCCAGCCAUGCCGCGUGAAUGAAGAAGGCCUUAGGGUUGUAAAGUUCUUUCGGUAGCGAGGCGUUAACUACAGAAGAAGCACCGGCGAACUCCGUGCCAGCAGCCGCGGUAAUAC